CCUACGGGAGGCAGCAGUAAGGAAUAUUGGACAAUGGACGCAAGUCUGAUCCAGCCAUGCCGCGUGAAGGAUUAAGGCCCUCUGGGUUGUAAACUUCUUUUAUAGGGGACGAAAAAAGGGCUUUCUAGCUCGACUGACGGUACCCUAUGAAUAAGCACCGGCUAACUCCGUGCCAGCAGCCGCGGUAAUACGGAGGGUGCAAGCGUUAUCCGGAUUCACUGGGUUUAAAGGGUGCGUAGGCGGGCAUUUAAGUCAGUGGUGAAAUCUUCGAGCUCAACUCGGAAACUGCCAUUGAUACUAUUUGUCUUGAAUAUUGUGGAGGUGAGCGGAAUAUGUCAUGUAGCGGUGAAAUGCUUAGAUAUGACAUAGAACACCGAUUGCGAAGGCAGCUCGCUACACAAAUAUUGACGCUGAGGCACGAAAGCGUGGGGAUCAAACAGGAUUAGAUACCCUGGUAGUCCACGCCCUAAACCUAUGGAUACUCGACAUUUGCGAUACACAGUAAGUGUCUGAGCGAAAGCAUUAAGUAUCCCNCCNGGAGACGACGCGAGUAGAAGUAAUAGAGUGAGNGNGAGAGNGCGAGACGACGACGAGGGAGAGG
Molecule: ribosomal RNA, 601 nt
Filed under: uncultured bacterium
Lineage: Bacteria
Description: bacterial SSU rRNA
Rfam family: Bacterial small subunit ribosomal RNA (bases 1-536)
Source: RNAcentral